UCAGGCUAUCCAGUGGUGCCAAUGCCACUGACAGGCAGGAAGAUAAGUCUCCUGCCCAGAUAUCUGUGGACAGUCUCCUCCACAAUGAUAACAAAAUAACCGACGAACAGGUGGAAUAUGACAAGGAGGAGGGAUACUAUUAUGAACACGGUGAAGACGACCAUCGGUCUGGGGAUUAUGGAAUGCAAUUUCCAAGAGUGGCAUUUUCCACCCAACCGAAAGAUCUGCCGGUGCCCCCCUUCACAGACAGGAGAAGGCAGGGCAAGAGAAAGGGCAAUGGUAAGAAGAGGAACCCCUGUCUAUAUGUGGAUAUAUUCAAAUAAACAACAAUUUUGUACUA
This is a long non-coding RNA of Coregonus clupeaformis (lake whitefish), 340 nucleotides long. RefSeq lists it as uncharacterized. The record is from RefSeq and is a predicted model, not a curated record. Lineage: Eukaryota; Metazoa; Chordata; Actinopteri; Salmoniformes; Salmonidae. The transcript has 2 exons.